UGGGGAAUAUUGCACAAUGGGCGAAGCCUGAUGCAGCAACGCCGCGUGAGUGAUGAAGGCCUUCGGGUUGUAAAGCUCUGUCUUUUGGGACGAUAAUGACGGUACCAAAGGAGGAAGCCACGGCUAACUACGUGCCAGCAGCCGCGGUAAUACGUAGGUGGCAAGCGUUGUCCGGAUUUACGGGCGUAAAGGAUGCGUAGGCGGAUUUUUAAGUGAGAUGUGAAAUACCCGGGCUUAACUUGGGUGCUGCAUUUCAAACUGGGAAUCUAGAGUGCGGGAGAGGAGAAUGGAAUUCCUAGUGUAGCGGUGAAAUGCGUAGAGAUUAGGAAGAACACCAGUGGCGAAGGCGAUUCUCUGGACCGUAACUGACGCU
This 373-nucleotide ribosomal RNA is filed under the name uncultured bacterium. RNAcentral's name for it is "partial 16S ribosomal RNA". It matches the Rfam family "Bacterial small subunit ribosomal RNA", at positions 355 to 747 of the family's 1533-position model. The record is from RNAcentral.